UAAUCUGCGUUCAAGGUCAAGAAUCAAUGCAGACCAGGCUAAGUACAAAGAAAAACUGCUUUCGGCCCCAGCUGACUGUGAAAAAAUAUAGACAUAGUCAAACCAAAGGCAAUACAAGUUAAAGUGCUGAGAUUACAUUUGCAAAGCUUAACUGUCCAAUGAGAUCCAACAGUCUGCCUUUGCGACCCUGGAGCCGGCGUGGUUUGGGGACGCUGAAGAAGCCACAGGUAGCCGGCCUGGACUGGAAUCACUGAAAAGACGCCCCAGGAGACCUCAGGGUGUAAAAGAACUGCCCUCCCAAGAGAGGAAGCAAGUUGGAGAUUGCACAGCACCUUCUCUGAACGUUAUACACAGACGUGGCCAGUCUGGACGUACGUGUGUGAGUAUGAAAGUGUGUCUACUCUCAGCCGCAGUAAGUCUGAGAACCGGAGAGGGAUUUAGCAUUCCUCUUUCCACCCCGGCUGACCGGGAAGGGUGUCAGGUGGAUCUACCCCAGUCGUAGCAGGACUGGGCAACAGAGAAGUUGGAGAAAAGGGAAGAGUUGUGUACUUGAUAACUAGAAUUGAGCAAUUAAGAGCAUAGAUCAUGAACCAGGCAGCAACUCAAACCUACGCCCAGGGCAAGUUGCAAGCCUUGAGACAGGACUUCCAGGCAGAAAAGGAAGCACUGGCUAAGCAAGUACCGGUCCUUCAGGGACUUGUCAGAAUUUAACCAUUUGUGUUUGCAUAUGCUGUAAGAGCAGUGUGUUUGCCACAAGAGAAAAUUGAAUAGUUAAAUGCCAAUGGGCAAUGCGUUUUGCCCAAGUGGCAAGCCUCACGGGGGAGGACUUGGGUAGCCUUGUGAGUAAGAAUGUUUAAGAGAAGAGACCAGGAAGGGUGGGGGCUAGUUGAGAAGCCCACCCUCCUAGCUAAAUUGGUAGUGAAAAAAGCUGGUGCCCAUGGAAGGGACGGUUCAGCGAGAAAAGCAGGAUCGGGCCCAAGCGGGCAGGCAAUAGAUAGAGAGAUUGGAGAACAGGUUGGAAACUUUGAGGACAUAGUGGAAGGAAAGGAGUAAGUAAUUAUAAGCAUGGGGAUUUCAAAUCCCCAGGAUAAUAAUUGAAAUGGUAAAAUGUGUGUAAGACAGAGUCUUUGUACCAAGGUGCAAGGCUCUCCUUUCUUCUGCAGAAUAAAGCAACUCUUCCUUAUCCCUGUCUGGCUGUUAUUGGCUCUCAGCUAGGUGGACCCGAUAUUUUGGUGACAGUUAAUGGCGACUCCGGUUAAUGAAUUUCUGUCUUAUACAUUUAGGUGUUAGGUGUGUGGAUGGAACUGAGCCUCUCAUUCGUAAUUCCUCAGAGUGGAAGCCAUCGCGUGCAAUGAAGCUCUGAGGUUGAAUUGGGAUCCUUCUGUCCCGUCCCCUGUAGCGGUCAGUAUUAGUAGAAAUUCCUGUAAUAGGAUCCUAUUAGGCCAUAAUUCCCUCUGUUCUCUGUGUAAUUCUCUGUUAGAGUGUCAGCAGGCAGAUGGGUGGGUCUCUGGUAAAACUCUCUAAGGAUAGCCCUUUGGAUUAUAUGUUAAGUAAAUGGCCUUUACCCGGUGUUCAGGAAAGAAUAAAGAUUUGAAUUUGUUUUUGGGUAACAAAAUAGCAGAUAAAAGAUCUGGUAAAAAGAGAGAGAAGGACAGUGCCCCUGGCUCUGUGUGGUCGAACUGUCACUUUACUAGGGGUGCAUGGAGAUUUUGUAAGCACAAAAGAAACAGUUACACCUUGUGUAGAAAUUGAUGUGGCUAGUGUUGUGGAAAUUGAAUUGUGGAUAGGAUGUGCAUUUUCCCCAGAACAUGUGCAGUGUAUAUUGUAGCAGAGGUAAAAGAAAUGCAAACCUACCAAUAUAGGUUGUGUCGUCUCUUUCAGAUCACUGGGUGUUUGAAAGCAGGAGUUAGAAGUAAAAGGCAAUCAAAAGUCUGGGAAAGUUAAUUGUGACUUUUUACAUAAGAAUUUUUAAGCUGUGGAUAGCUUUGGAUCUGAAAGCAAGCCAGAAAGCAUCUGUAUUAAUGCAAUUUUCUAACUAAUAAGGUAGAAGCCACUGAAACCUGGGCUGCCUAUGAAACAAAUACAAGGAAAUAUGGGGUAAUUCCUCUGUUUUGUCUAAAAUCAACAAGAGUAUGUGUGUAUAUAAAGGAAAUAUUUUAAGCAAUGACUGACUACCCAGAAGGGGUAGACCUCUGUUCUUUUGUCUUUCAGAUCAUCAGAGAAAACGGAUGCCAGCUGAACAGCAUUCAAUGUACCAUGCAUUUACUGGUUAAAAGAAGCCAAGAAGGGGAGAAGGAAAAAGAACAGAACGAGUUAACUGAGGAAAAAUAGCUAGCAAGCUCAGUCCAAAGAUAAGAUGCUGGCACCAUCCAAGGAUACUACCCACAGCUAAGACUUGGCUGACAGCCAAGAAAAGGGGGGCCUGAAUGUGCCCAAGCAACUAUGAGAUCUGCAAAACACUGCCAGGCAUUAAUGAAAUGUGUUAGGUUUCUUUUCUCACAGAUAAAAGAAGUGCUACCCAAAGACCCUAGCAGCCCUGCCAUUCAUUGAAACAAGGAGACUGAGUCUACGUAAAGUCCAUCAACGAAAGACUGCUUUGGCUCCACACUGGAAAGGCCCUUUCCAAGUCCUGUUAACCACCACCACCACUGUGAAGUGCCAAGGACUACCUGCCUGGACCCAUGCUUCUCACUGUAAAAAGACCCCUCCACCUCGGGAGGACUCUCCGACUGAUGAUAAGCCUAUUUCUCCUUCUAGCUCUGCUGUGUCUUCUGGACAGCAGGAAAAAGAAAGAAAGAAAAAAAAAAGACAAGGUGAAGUGCUAGUAACCUCUCCCUUGUCCACUGACAGACCUACUGUGCCUCUGGAUUUUUCUAGAAGAAGCAAAACCAUUACAGGGUGAUGUGCUAGUAACCUCUCCCCUGUAUGAUGCUAAACCACACUGUUUCAGGAAAAGAGAAGAAGGAACACUUGCUUCAUUGAAACCACAAAGUCCAGGGAUUCCUGACUACAAGAGACAUUAAGAACUGACCCUGGUGAAGAAACAAAGAAUUAUACACUGGCAGGAAGAAACUUGUGGGACCCAUGCUUGGGAAUGUGGUAUAGUACUACACCAAAAA
This is a long non-coding RNA of Malaclemys terrapin pileata, 3119 nucleotides long. RefSeq lists it as uncharacterized. Lineage: Eukaryota; Metazoa; Chordata; Testudines; Emydidae. The transcript has 2 exons. The record is from RefSeq and is a predicted model, not a curated record.